This 140-nucleotide small RNA is filed under the name Mahella australiensis. RNAcentral's name for it is "c-di-AMP sequence". It matches the Rfam family "c-di-AMP riboswitch aptamer (ydaO/yuaA leader)". Rfam says of the family: This family represents a conserved RNA structure found upstream of the ydaO and yuaA genes in Bacillus subtilis and related genes in other bacteria. The ydaO/yuaA element is thought to act as a genetic "off" switch for the ydaO and yuaA genes in its native state. Lineage: Bacteria; Bacillati; Bacillota; Clostridia; Mahellales; Mahellaceae. The record is from RNAcentral.
AAGUUUGAUUCGCUUAAUUUCCUGAAUAUAGGAAAACGGGGGACCCAUUAGGAUAAUAUGAGGCGUAUUCCGAAAGGAUAGAGCAACUCUUUCAGCUCGAGCCUGUCAGCUAACCUCGUAAGCGUUGAAAGGGAGUGAAC